Molecule: ribosomal RNA, 457 nt
Filed under: Acidobacteriota bacterium
Lineage: Bacteria; Pseudomonadati; Acidobacteriota
Description: bacterial SSU rRNA
Rfam family: Bacterial small subunit ribosomal RNA
Source: RNAcentral
UGAGAGUUUGAUCCUGGCUCAGAAUCAACGCUGGCGGCGUGCCUAACACAUGCAAGUCGAACGCGAAAACGGGCUUCGGCCCGCAAGUAGAGUGGCAAACGGGUGAGUAACGCGUGGGUGACCUACCUUCGAGUGGGGGAUAACGUUCCGAAAGGGGCGCUAAUACCGCAUGACAUCCCGUCUUUGGAAAGAUGGUGAUCAAAGCUGGGGAUCGCAAGACCUAGCGCUUGUUGAGGGGCCCGCGUCCGAUUAGCUUGUUGGCGGGGUAAUGGCCCACCAAGGCGACAAUCGGUAGCCGGCCUGAGAGGGCGGACGGCCACACUGGGACUGAGACACGGCCCAGACUCCUACGGGAGGCAGCAGCUAAGAAUCUUCCGCAAUGGGCGAAAGCCUGACGGUGCAACGCCGCGUGAGUGAUGAAGGUUUUCGGAUCGUAAAGCUCUGUUGACAGGGAAGA